This is a long non-coding RNA of Etheostoma spectabile (orangethroat darter), 202 nucleotides long. RefSeq lists it as uncharacterized. NCBI's taxonomy places the organism in Eukaryota, Metazoa, Chordata, Actinopteri, Perciformes, Percidae. The record is from RefSeq and is a predicted model, not a curated record. The transcript is spliced from 3 exons.
ACAACUAAUUGCAAUUCUACUGUGGGCUCAUACGGAAAGUAAGCAGGCUGUAUUGUGACACUGACAUCUUGGUGUAAUGUUCCUUGAUCAUGUUCACAAAUUCAGUUUUGAAGUUUUAAGGGACCCCUUUAAAUUGUCAUGUUAGAUUUACUCAGACAUCAGACAUUCCACAUUUAUUAGGCUUAUGGAAAUGCAGUGCUGC